Mus musculus (house mouse) is the source of this 4175-nucleotide RNA transcript. It is a transcript of the gene named RIKEN cDNA 6820408C15 gene, with no coding region annotated. The record is from RefSeq and is marked validated. The transcript is spliced from 12 exons. Lineage: Eukaryota; Metazoa; Chordata; Mammalia; Rodentia; Muridae.
GAAGGGUGAGGGGUCUUGUGGGAGAGAGGGUUUGCAGUGGGAUGGUUUAGAGGGACAAGAGUGACAGUUGUCAAGGAGUGGUGGAGAGGCUGAUGUGCUCAGUACAUGGUUAUUGAGGCCUCCCUGCCAGGUCAGGCUGGACUGUGCAGAGUAGGCUGGGUUGACAUGGCAGUGAGCAUGGCCUUGCCUGGUGGGUGAAGAGAAAAGGGAGGUUACCAGGAGGGAGGUGGGGUGCUGGAGCUUUACAGGAGCUCAGGCAAGCUGAAAGGAAGAGAGAGAGAGAGAGAGAGAGAGAGAGAGAGAGUGUGUGUGUGUGUGUGUGUGUGUGUGUGUGUGUGUUGUGGGGGAGGGACGUUGCAAGAGCCAGGGCCAUGUGGAAAACAUAGUGGGCUGAAGAAUCAGACUCUGUAAUUUAGAAUCAAUUUCACAAACAAGACCCAUAUGUACCUUACUUAAGAGGACUAAAUUAGCAGCCUGGUUUGGAGGAACCAUUGUAGCUUGUGCUGAUUCAGUGGAGCCUUGAGGUUUGAGCUGCUGCUACUGAUUCAUGUGUGCUGUUCAUCCAGUGGGCUGCACUGCUGCUACUGAUUCAUGUGUGGUGGUCAUCCAGUGGGCUGCACUGCUGCUGCUGAUUCAUGUGUGGUGUUCAUCCAGUGGGCUGCACUGCUGCUGCUGAUUCAUGUGUGGUGUUCAUCCAGUGGGCUGCACUGCUGCUGCUGAUUCAUGUGUGGUGUUCAUCCAGUGGGCUGCACUGCUGCUGCUGAUUCAUGUGUGGUGUUCAUCCAGUGGGCUGCACUGCUGCUGCUGAUUCAUGUUUGGUGGUUUGUUAGUGGACUGAGCUACUGAUAAACGGACAAAGACGAUUGGAACCACCCCAAAGAACUAUUUUUAAACAGUUCCACAUGCUCCUUUUUCCCUAUUAACAUUUCUUUUGUACUACCUCUGGUUGGUGUGGGAGGUUAGAAGGGAGUUUGAAGCAUUAAAGAACCCAUUAAAAGUAGGUUUUGAAAACAAACAAACAAACAAACAAACAAAACUAAGCCUAUAGGUGAUGCCCAAUGUGGCUUAGGCAAAAUGGAUAGCUCACCUUUUAAUGUAGUAGACAAAAAGGCAAAUUGUGAGGGGUUAACAUGUUGUUUGAGAAAGUUGGCAAAACAGCCACUGCGUCUGCGUGGCUUCCUACCUUGUCCCUGGAGGGAGAUGUCUGGUUUUGUUUUGUAGUCUUCAUGCAUACCAUUUUGAAAAAGAAUGGGGUGAAAGCUGAAAACUCAGAAGGUUCACGCAAUUUUCUUGUGUUAGAAAGGACUGCAGAGUUGGCUCUGCACAGAGAGUAUGAGAGGCUGAAGUGCUUGGGAAGCAAAGAGAGCCAGUGUGAGAACAACAGGGUUCAGGCUUAGUGUCGGAGACCAGGAAUUCACUGCAUGAUGGAGGGAAGGAAGCAAACUAGGCUGGAUGGUAAACUACCACCCUGCCUGGCUCCACAGACUUUCUCUGUCAGGUCAGGGUUGGAGAGAGCAGGAGACGGUCCAGGGAUGUACUACCUUGCCUGGGCCUAAGCUUUUCAUGGCCAUUAUGACUCAAGAUCUCCAUGUCAAGAUUCUGGUCAGAAGCCUGUGUCUUCCAGCUUCAAGAUCUGGAUCACAGGUGAGCCCUUCAUUUCUGAAUUGUAGUUCACUCCAGGUGUAGUCAAGUUUGACAACCAGGAAUAGUCACACAUUUUGUAUUUUUCCUUUUUUAGCUUGCCUUUUCAUUAAAAUGUUCUUCAUAAAGAGUGAACUUUAGUAACCACAAUACAAAAUCAUUAUUAUUAUUAUUUCAUCUUUUUUUUAACAGUCCAGUCGUUAUCACCCUCCCAGUCCACCCUCUGACAGUUCCCUCAUCCCAUUCCUCCGACCCCAUCUCCAACAUACAAUAAAAUUUAUAGCAGGCUGUUUUGAGACUUCCUUUGUCAAAGCAAUUAAUCUAAAUCUCUUUACCUUAGCCUCAGGCAGACUCUUUGAACAAUGGCAAAAAGUAGUCCUAUUUUUCACCAAAAUAUCACAAGAAACUCUCAGUCACAUACUAACACUCUUUUCCACCGAAACCUCUUGGACCAGGUCUGCCCAGUUCAGAUCAUCCUCAGCACCACUGUCUUCCAUUAAUUCCCACAUAAAGGAUUCUCCUGCUUCCCAGAUCCACAUCCUCCAAACAAAACCAUAACCAGGCCUAUCACAGCAAUACCCCAGUUUAUGGUGCCAACUUCUGUCUUAGUUAGGGUUUCCAUUGUUGUGAAGAGACUCCCAUGGCCAAAGCAUAUUCAAACUACUACAUGUGUCCAUGGUCCAAAACAGGAUAUCCAGGGAUUGAAUUUCCACAUUUUAAAAGGGGGCACUGCUGACAUACCAACAUCCUUGCCCUUACAGACCUGUAUGGCAAGAGCAGUGGCCAAUAAUAAAAGAAAAAUUGCAGGCACUUGAACAACUGGUACAAGAUCAGCUGGAGGCUCAACAGAUAUAAGAGUUUACCAGCUCAUGGAAUUCACCUGUGUUGUAAGACUCUAUAAGAAGACCAUUGUCCUGAUCCCUUAAAUUGGGGUGGGAAGCAAAGUCGGGAGUGAAUACGAGAAACAAGUGAUGGAAGUUGGAUGAAAGUGGAGGUAAAGAGAAGACGUUUGAAAAUAUGUUGGAACUCCGUGGGGCCUCUGCAGUCUUGCCUGGCUAGGUCUCUCUCUGCGUUCCAAGGUUGUCGUUUCCUUGGAGACCAGACGCUGCCAGCAGAAAGCUCGCCUAGUCUCCUUGGGAUCCGUUCUUAGACAAGAGGCGGCAGAAGCCUCACCGGUAUCUGGAGACAGCCUAUACCCAGAGGACCUGGAUUCUUUUCCCCAAUGGCACAGAAACAAACCUCGAGACCUCAAUUCUCAGGGAACAAGUUUCAAGUACCUGUGAGAUUGGGGCCAGAGAAGAACUUGAAGCCAUCUACUCUGCCUCCCCUCCGACAAGUCAAAGGCCGCAACAAAAGCAAGACGAAGAAUCUGAAUAAAAUCCAACCAGCAGUACAGUCCCAGGUCUCUGUAGAGAUGGCAAACUCAACAAAGACUUCAGGAGGACUUCGAAGAAGGGACCAAACGCACCACGGGAAAGUGCAGGCCAAGGUCCGGCUGAUGAGGUCGAUGCUUCGAAACCAGCGGACCUCGCUCCAGGAGCUCUACAGCCACGAAGGCUACCUCAGCAAGCUCAACAAGGAGCUGAUCAAGGCCAUCCUGGACACUGAGGACAGCGUGGCCUUGAGCGUGCGUGAAAUGCUACAGCAGCAGAGUAUCCUCGGGAGUAUCAUCGACAUCUUGGAAUAUUCAAACAAGAAGCGGGUGCAGCAGCUGAGGUCUGAGCUCCAGGAGUGGAAAGAGAAGGAGGAGAGCAAGACAAACAGCCUUCAGAGGGAGGUGGAUCAGCUGAACUCCGAGAUCCAGAAGGCCAGCGAGGAGGUGAAUUUCCUGGACACCUACAUGGAUCACGAGUAUCCCGUCAAGUUGGUUCAGAUCGCCAGCCACAUACGCCAGGUGCAGCAGGCAAAGGACAACCAGCAGGAUGAGCUGGACAACCUUAGCGAGAUGCGGGAAACCAUCCUGGCACUUUUUUCCAACGUAAUUCAAGAGAAGAAGAAGAAAAUCCUGAAGUCUCUGGUCGUGAAUACUCAGAAACCCCAUGAGAACAUACUGCUGCUGAAGACCCUGGACAGACGGCGACUGCAGAGGUGCAUGGUCUUGUUCAGAGAGGUGAGGACAGCAGGAAGGUCACGGCCUCUGGGACUGAGCAGCUUAUUGAACAGAUGAAAGAAGAGAUUCCCAUCCUACUCUCAGAGGUGGAGCAGAUGUGUGCAGAGCUCUGGAACCCGAGAGAGGCCGUUUAUAAGGAUGUUCUGCUUCAGAGACCCAAGUGCACCCCAGACAUGGCUGUUGAGCUCAACAUUCCUGUGCAGGAGCCAUUCCCCUUCUAGAUGCAGUGUUGCCCCUCUUCUCCCUCCUCCCUUCCCAGCACCAGGGGUUCCGGCUGGUGACUUACAAGAUGGUAUCUCUGUUAUGAAUCUGACCCACAGCGCCCUCUUCUACCCCUCUCCCUUGCUGUUUGGACUAGGCAGGAGUUCCUAGUCCAGCCUGCUUGUUCCUUGGUGCCAAUAAAGCUGUGUUUGUGUUUGCUUGG